GACGAACGCUGGCGGCGUGCUUAACACAUGCAAGUCGAACGGAAAGGCCCUGCUUGCAGGGUACUCGAGUGGCGAACGGGUGAGUAACACGUGGGUGAUCUGCCCUUCACUUCGGGAUAAGCCUGGGAAACUGGGUCUAAUACCGGAUAGGAGCCAUUUUUAGUGUGAUGGUUGGAAAGUUUUUUCGGUGUAGGAUGAGCUCGCGGCCUAUCAGCUUGUUGGUGGGGUAAUGGCCUACCAAGGCGGCGACGGGUAGCCGGCCUGGGAGGGUGGACGGCCAAAAUGGGACUGAGACACGGCCCAGACUCCUACGGGAGGCAGAAGGGGGGAAGAUUGCAAAAUGGGAGCAAGCCUGAUGCAGAGAAGCCGCGGGGGGGAUGACGGCCUUCGGGUUGUAAAAUACUUUCGCUAGGGACGAAGCUUUUUGUGACGGUACCUAGAUAAGAAGCACCGGCUAACUACGUG
This 465-nucleotide ribosomal RNA is filed under the name uncultured bacterium. RNAcentral's name for it is "partial 16S ribosomal RNA". It matches the Rfam family "Bacterial small subunit ribosomal RNA", at positions 28 to 507 of the family's 1533-position model. The record is from RNAcentral.